GUAGGUGGCAAGCGUUGUCCGGAAUUAUUGGGCGUAAAGCGCGCGCAGGCGGUUCUUUAAGUCUGAUGUGAAAGCCCACGGCUCAACCGUGGAGGGUCAUUGGAAACUGGAGAACUUGAGUACAGAAGAGGAAAGCGGAAUUCCACGUGUAGCGGUGAAAUGCGUAGAGAUGUGGAGGAACACCAGUGGCGAAGGCGGCUUUCUGGUCUGUAACUGACGCUGAUGCGCGAAAGCGUGGGGAGCAAACAGGACUAGAUACCCUGGUAGUCCACGCCGUAAACGAUGAGUGCUAAGUGUUAGGGGGGUUUCCGCCCCCCUUAGUGCUGCAGCUAACGCAUUAAGCACUCCGCCUGGGAGUACGGCCGCAAGGCUG
RNAcentral lists this ribosomal RNA (373 nucleotides) under uncultured organism. Its description in RNAcentral is "partial 16S ribosomal RNA". It matches the Rfam family "Bacterial small subunit ribosomal RNA", at positions 527 to 896 of the family's 1533-position model. The record is from RNAcentral.